CUCUAAUCAUUGAUAUUAGGUCCAAAUCAACUAUUAAAAUUUUUCAAUUCAGUCCCCAGACUUUGGAUUCAGUCCCUUUUGACCAAAUUUUGGCUCAUUUUGUCCACUUCCACAGUUUUUUAUCGAGAUGCACCUAACAAAUGAAAUAUAUACAAAAUUAAGUCUCAAUUCAUUUAAAAUAACAAUAAUUACUUGAGUUUAACGACCGAGAUAAGUCAUUCACAUUUUUGAAGAUCCAAAACAUAUUCUAAAGAUCUCUUGAUUAAACCUAUGAUUAUUGAUUUAUAAAUUCAUCCCAAACACAUUAUAUUAUUGGUAAAUGCUUGUUAUAAGUCAAGAGAUUAUCAUUAGAAAUUCAAGUACAUAUUUCAAUAUCUCUUGCAUCAAUCUACAAAUCAAUACAUAUAAGAUCCUUUGAUCAAACACCAAAACAAAAUUCUACCUUCGUCAAUUAGCUUUCAGAUUUCUAAGGUUUUGAAAAGAGAUGCUUAGAGCUCUCGUGCUCAGAGAUGAUAUUCGCUCUUGUUGAUCCAAGCAGAGAGAAAAGUAGCUCAAACUUCUGAAAAGUGUGAGCGUGGACAACCAAAAAAAAUUCCUUGGUGAUUUACAAGUUAGACGACCAAAAUCAGCUAAAGUUUAGCGAUGUCUGAAUUAUUUAUAAGUUUUAACUUUUUAGUAGAUUUAAUUGGUUUUAGUAGAUCUAAUUGGUUUAAUUUCGCAUUUAGCGGUCUGAAUUAUUUAUAAGUUUUAACUUUUUAGUAGAUUUAAUUGGUUUUAGUAGAUCUAAUUGGUUUAAUUUCGCAUUGGAUCAAAACAAUGAUAAUUUCCAACAGGUGGCAUUAACGCAAUACAUUGGAAAAACUCUCAAAAUGCUUCCAUUUUUUCCAUCGUUUUCC
This 896-nucleotide long non-coding RNA is filed under the name Olea europaea subsp. europaea. The record is from RNAcentral. Lineage: Eukaryota; Viridiplantae; Streptophyta; Magnoliopsida; Lamiales; Oleaceae.